Molecule: ribosomal RNA, 588 nt
Filed under: uncultured bacterium
Lineage: Bacteria
Description: bacterial SSU rRNA
Rfam family: Bacterial small subunit ribosomal RNA
Source: RNAcentral
CCAGACUCCUACGGGAGGCAGCAGUGGGGAAUAUUGCACAAUGGGCGGAAGCCUGAUGCAGCAACGCCGCGUGCGGGAUGACGGCCUUCGGGUUGUAAACCGCUUUCGCCUGUGACGAAGCGUGAGUGACGGUAAUGGGUAAAGAAGCACCGGCUAACUACGUGCCAGCAGCCGCGGUGAUACGUAGGGUGCGAGCGUUGUCCGGAUUUAUUGGGCGUAAAGGGCUCGUAGGUGGUUGGUCGCGUCGGAAGUGUAAUCUUGGGGCUUAACCCUGAGCGUGCUUUCGAUACGGGUUGACUUGAGGAAGGUAGGGGAGAAUGGAAUUCCUGGUGGAGCGGUGGAAUGCGCAGAUAUCAGGAGGAACACCAGUGGCGAAGGCGGUUCUCUGGGCCUUUCCUGACGCUGAGGAGCGAAAGCGUGGGGAGCGAACAGGCUUAGAUACCCUGGUAGUCCACGCUGUAAACGGUGGGUACUAGGUGUGGGGUCCAUUCCACGGGUUCCGUGCCGUAGCUAACGCUUUAAGUACCCCGCCUGGGGAGUACGGCCGCAAGGCUAAAACUCAAAGGAAUUGACGGGGGCCCGCACAAG